RNAcentral lists this unclassified non-coding RNA (210 nucleotides) under uncultured Simocybe. Its description in RNAcentral is "partial internal transcribed spacer 2". Lineage: Eukaryota; Fungi; Basidiomycota; Agaricomycetes; Agaricales; Crepidotaceae. The record is from RNAcentral.
AAUUCUCAACCUUACUAGCUUUUGCGAACUAAGGCUUGGAUGUGGGGGUUCAUUUGCUGGCUUCUUACGAGGUCGGCUCCCCUGAAAUGCAUUAGCGGUGCCCUUGUGGACCCGACUAUCAGUGUGAUAAUAUAUCUACGCUGUUAGACGACCACGCCUUUGGGGUUGUGCUGCUUCUAACCGUCCGAUCUCUGGACAACACAAUGACAU